RNAcentral lists this ribosomal RNA (239 nucleotides) under uncultured Lactobacillus sp. RNAcentral describes it as "partial 16S ribosomal RNA". It matches the Rfam family "Bacterial small subunit ribosomal RNA", at positions 125 to 355 of the family's 1533-position model. The record is from RNAcentral. Lineage: Bacteria; Bacillati; Bacillota; Bacilli; Lactobacillales; Lactobacillaceae.
CCGUAGCCCAAUAGAUCGGGAUAACACCUGGAAACAGAUGCUAAUACCGGAUAACAACAGAUGAUGCCUAUCAACUGUUUAAAAGAUGGUUCUGCUAUCACUCUUGGAUGGACCUGCGGUGCAUUAGCUAGUUGGUAGGGUAACGGCCUACCAAGGCGAUGAUGCAUAGCCGAGUUGAGAGACUGAUCGGCCACAUUGGGACUGAGACACGGCCCAAACUCCUACGGGAGGCAGCAGCC